Pelobates cultripes (western spadefoot toad) is the source of this 1141-nucleotide non-coding RNA. The record is from the annotation of a GenBank genome assembly. NCBI's taxonomy places the organism in Eukaryota, Metazoa, Chordata, Amphibia, Anura, Pelobatidae.
AAAAUAUAUAUAUAUAUUUCUGACAUUUACUAAUAUAUACGUGAAUAUAUUACAUUCUAAAUAUAAAAGGAAAAGUUUUAAACAAGGGAUUAAUAUCAUAUUUGGUGCUGCUGUUAUUAACUACAGUGUUAUACGGAAUUUAUCAUGGAUUUGUGACUGCUGAAAAAGGGACAAUGGAAUUUAGCCAUAACAAGGACUAUACUGGAAAGACACUACUGCUGGUGAAUGGGCCCUAAUUUUAAGUCUUUCUCAUGCUGCAAGGUAGUGAAUGAGAUUCGAUGUCAAGCAUAAUCUGCAGUGCAACAAUUAUAGACUGAAGUGGUAUCAGAGAUGGUUAUGAAAAGUCAGUGCUGGUAAAUUACCUGUAAAUAAAUGUGAGCAUGACACAUUUGAAAAUUUCAUCUCUUUUGGGGAUAUGUUUGAUUGUACGGUUAUUAUCAAUUACUGUGCGUGUCUAAUAAUCCCAUGUAUUUUGGGUAACAUCACUGUCCCUGUAGUACCAUAUAGUGUGCUGCAGAUUGUAUUGAAACAAACCACCUUAAUAUAGCAUAACCUGUUUAUGCAGAUAUUAUUUAUUUAAUUUUUAGUUACACGUUCAUCCCUGUGGGUUAUUCCCAACACUUCUAGUAAUCUCAUGUUUACUAAGUGGUGCUAUUUUAACAAAACAUUUGUGACUUUGGUAGGCAUAGUGAAGCCAUUAGCAUCUGAGUAUUCUGAUUCCGGAAUCUCUCUUCUAUGUAAUACCACCACUUAGUACAAAUUUAGCCAUGUGUUGUAAGUCAUGAGCUAUGUGUAUCGUUCUGAGAUGUAGCAUUGUAAAACAUCAUUAUUUAAGUAAAUGUUAAAGCGUUACUGCAGACAAAUUGUACGUUGUUUGCAAAUACUCAUUUCUUCACUCAUGUUUGUUAAAAAUGAAACAUGAAAGUAUUACUAUGAUCAAUAAAAAUGACGGUGGCAAAACCUAUUGUUAGUUUGUAAUUAAUGGCAUUGGUUUCUCACUAGAAACAGAAUCCAGCAUAAUAAAUAUUUGUUGUAAGAUAUUAUGUAUUUUACUUUUGCCAAGGAUAGUUUUGUUUUUAUUUGCAUUGUGUUAUAAUAAUGUGAACUGAUAUUGGUCUUUGUCAAUGAUAAUGUACAUUUC